GGACAAAAGAAUGGGGACGAAGGGAGUAAUUAACUAAUUGUUGUCGGCUUCUCCUGGUUUAUACGAGGGUAUCUAUGAAAAAUGGGGGUGGUGUUGGUUAGUGAAUGGUGGUACAGUAGGUGGUAUGCAGAUGAUGGUAGAACUGUGGCAGUGAUGGUUGCAGCUUUCAGCAGUUUCUAUUAAGACUGCUAGAGAAUGAAUGGAGACCAUUGCCUCA
This is a long non-coding RNA of Rhododendron vialii, 217 nucleotides long. RefSeq lists it as uncharacterized. NCBI's taxonomy places the organism in Eukaryota, Viridiplantae, Streptophyta, Magnoliopsida, Ericales, Ericaceae. The transcript is spliced from 2 exons. The record is from RefSeq and is a predicted model, not a curated record.